Long non-coding RNA from Raphanus sativus (radish), 873 nucleotides. RefSeq lists it as uncharacterized. Lineage: Eukaryota; Viridiplantae; Streptophyta; Magnoliopsida; Brassicales; Brassicaceae. The record is from RefSeq and is a predicted model, not a curated record. The transcript has 2 exons.
UCUAAAGUUCUAAACGGAUAUGUGACCGAAAAAUAAGUCAACUUUGGUGACAUAGGUAACCAAAUCAAUUCUCUUAAGCCUUUCCAUAUAUUAUAUUCAGGAUAUUACAUUUUUAGUCUUCACUCUGAAAUUGCCGUUGUAGUUUGUGGUUGCGUGGACGCAUUUCUUAUGCUUUCUUGUUUUUUUGUUGUUCAGAUUCUUCUCGGUGUGUGGAAUGGAAUAUCAUAUCAUUUUUCUUUUUAACAAAUAUAUGUAAAUGAGAAGCCACGAACGUGAUCAGUAAAAAAAAGCUUUGGGAAAGAAAACAGGAAAGCCACGAGGUGCGAGUCUCGACUAAUGGCCGCAUCACUUUCGGUGUAUCAUCUUUUUAUUUAGACGUUUCAAUUGUAUGCGAAUUGUUCUUCAACUUUACGACGUUUCAGUUCUGUAUAAUCUGGAAAUGUCAAUCAAGCCGAUGCAGCAGCACCAACAUGCACUAGAGCACUAAAUUCUGACUGGUGCUGCAGCUUGAAACCAAAACGGUGCCUAGGUAGCAAAGUGGAAUGUGACGCAAUUUGUAAACCGAGACGCCGUCUUUGAAUUUUUCAAAAACAAAUUUCUAUAUUAUAUAUUUCAGUUUUAUUCUAAUCUAAAUAAUACAUAGAAAGUUCUCUACGGAAACAACUAGUAUUGUCUGCUAAAAGACGUUGGUAUCUCGUGGAAGAGCUCAAGUUUUUUUCUUUUCUAUUUAUGACCUUUUACAAUUGGAUUCAAGAAAUUCAUAUAUGUUUCGGGAAAACAAGAAUAAAACAAUUAUUGAAUGUUUAUUUUUAUUUUAGUUUAAUGAUGUAAAGACUCAGAUGAUUGAAUAAAAUAAAAAUUAAUUUAAAAGUA